Long non-coding RNA from Gadus morhua (Atlantic cod), 401 nucleotides. RefSeq lists it as uncharacterized. The record is from RefSeq and is a predicted model, not a curated record. The transcript has 3 exons. Lineage: Eukaryota; Metazoa; Chordata; Actinopteri; Gadiformes; Gadidae.
AUACGUCAUAGGCCACGCCCACUGGAUACGAAGGCAGCGCGGGAGUCAGAUGAGGUCAGGAACGUAUGGCCGUCCCGUUGCUAGAACACGGCAGCGCCAAACAUUUCACUGACUACUGCUUCCUCAACUUGGGCCAAUACAGAGCUGGACUUGCUCAACGUCUGAAAAUCAAGUCUGGAUCAGUACCAACUCUCCUCGGCUCAGCUACAAACCUCGAAAAGGCCAGCUCAUCAAGUGCUUACAUUCAGCAGCUUCUCUCAAGGGAUGUUGCCUGCCAGACGGAAAACCUGGAAACGCAUAUUUGUAGGCACAAAGCUAUCCUUAAAGUCUAUGCAGCCCCAUUUUAAAAGUGAAGAAGACUGCGAUGCCUUUGGAGACCGUAGCACUCAGCGCAACGCCAC